AUCUUUUUAAUUACUUAUUUAUUUCAAGUAAAAAAUAUGUCAAUUUUUCAAAAAAGAGUGUGGGUUUUAAAUACAUGCGCAAAAAAAAAUCGCGCAGAAAUUGAUAAUGAUCCUUCCGCAGGUUCACCUACGGAAA
Molecule: unclassified non-coding RNA, 136 nt
Filed under: uncultured fungus
Lineage: Eukaryota; Fungi
Description: sequence contains ITS1
Source: RNAcentral